This 212-nucleotide non-coding RNA is filed under the name uncultured Mallomonas. Lineage: Eukaryota; Synurophyceae; Synurales; Mallomonadaceae. The record is from RNAcentral.
AUCUAAAUUGACUUCAUAAAGAGAAUAAGUAAUAACUGACUGACUGGGAAGAAAAUAAUACAUAAAAUCAUAGCAAGCUGAUCUCUCUCUCUUUUUCCCUCUCUCUCUCUCUUUCUUUCUUUCUCUCGUUUUCUGUUUGUUUGUUUUUUAUUCGGAAGUGUUGUUGUGAGGAGCUAAGUAUAGCGACAGAUAAAUAAUCGUAAUUUAGAUUA